This 1302-nucleotide unclassified non-coding RNA is filed under the name Hevea brasiliensis (rubber tree). The record is from RNAcentral. Lineage: Eukaryota; Viridiplantae; Streptophyta; Magnoliopsida; Malpighiales; Euphorbiaceae.
UGGGUAGUCCUACUAUUGUUGUGACUCUCUGGCAAGGCAGGGGUAUGGAAGCCAGACAUGGGGCAAAGACACAAGAUGAAGAGGGAAGGCUGAGAUUCCACUUCCAGUCUUUUGUGUCUUUCAAUGUAGCACAUAGGACAAUCAUGGCUUUAUGGAAGGCCAGAUCGUUGUCUCCUGAACAAAAGGUGCAAAUAGUUGAAGAAGAAUCAGAAGCUAAAAUCCCCCAAAAUGAAGAAAGUGAGCCCUUCUUGGGUCUUGAGGAUGUUAAUCUAUCUGAGGUUUAUUCUUCUGGUGUUUCUGCCCCGACCAAUUUCUUAAUGGAGCUGUUCAAUGGGGGUGAGUUGGAGCGAAAAGCGAUGGAGAAAGCUGGUUGUCUUAACUAUUCCUAUACCCCAUGGGAAUUGGAGAAGGAUGAUGUGUAUGAGAGGCAAAUAUAUUACAGAUUUGAUCAGCAAAUCUCCCGUUACAGAGGAGAGGUGACAAGUACACAGCAGAAGUACCCCCUAUCCGAUCGUAAAGGCUGGCUUGUGGAAGAGGUUAUGACUCUCCAUGGAGUUCCACUUGGUGACAAUUUUAAUCUUCACUUGAGAUACCAAAUUGAGGAUGUGCCUUCGAGACCCAAAGGAUGUCAUGUACACGUAUUCAUUGGAAUUGCAUGGCAGACAAGAACUAAGCAUCACAAAAGGACUACAAAGAACAAACAUCCUCUCAAAUUUGGAAGAUCGAAUGAAGGUGAUUUUUAGUGUUAUUGAGAGGGAAUUUUUGAACAGAUAGGAAUGUGCACUGCUGUAAUGUUGACACUCUGGACGACUUGAAGGAGCAGGUUGAUUAUCCAACUUCUGCUUUCUGCAACAAAAAUAUUGUGUCCAUUUUCUUCCUGCUCACGCGUUAGUAUGACAUUUCUUGAUUGUGCAUUCAUCCACAUGUUCCUUCAAGAAUUAUUUUGCAUAGCUAUUGUGGCUCUAGUUUAUUCUGAGAAAUCCUAAACUCAAAUGGGAAACAUGACCUGGUGAUUCUUUGACAUGGGACUUCAGAGUUCAACUCAAGGUUUGUUCACAGAACAUGCCAAAAUGAUUAAGCUCCUCGCUAACUGGCACUUUAGGUGGUAGCAGAAGAAUUACAGAUAUUAUUUCUUAAUGUACUGAAGCCAGAAUCCAGUUGGCUUAGAGAAAUUUUGCAAGUGUAUAGAAGAGANNNNAUUUUGUUGAUGAAAUAUGUUUAUAAAACCGUAUAGAAGCAAUGCUUUUUUUUUUCAACAAAUUCAAUAAGAUGAACAACAUUCAAUGAGCUAACAAAAUAAAG